CCUGCCGCCAUCCACGUAAGGUAUGAUUUGCCCCUCCUUGCCUUCUGCCAUGAUUGUGAGGCCUCCCCAGCCACGUGAAACUAAGGAGAGUGCAUGAGAUUAUAUAAAGACUCAGAGAAGAGAUACAGCUCCUCCCGCACCAGAGAAAUGCAGCUCCGUGAGCCCCGAUGGAGCCAGCAUGCUGCUGGGUGCUGAGGAGCAGGCAGAGGCACCCAGGAUGGCGGUCCCCAAGGAGAACGGAGGCACAGAACAACGCAUGAGGGGCCACAUGACUUAGGGCCGGGAUCGGUCACUCAGCCAGCAAAAACACUGGAAGAAAACAAAACAACUUCAGACUCUAUGCUGCAUUUCCGUAAUAUAUCUGCCCAAAGACUGGACAACAAAGGUAAAGGAGGCUGAUGAGGAAACGAAAGGAUCCGUGGUUCUUGGCUCGCUGGGUGGCUCAUCAACAAAGCCCCAGCAUCACUCCUGCAGAUGCCCUAGCCUGGCCUGGGCUGGGAUGGGCAAAAUUCACCAUGGGACUCUUGUUCAAGAGAGGGAGAUCAAAGCCAGAAACACUUACCCAGAAUGGCCAUGCAGACUAAAAUUCCAAUUCUAAAAAUACUUUUAAAAUGUAACGUACAACAAAGGAAAGCUGGAAAAAUAUUUAAAAAAGGAUGAAAGGGCAAGAAAAAUUCAACCCACGACCUCAAGGCGAUUAUAAUCUGUGUUCUGCUGCUUCCCAGAGCCGCUUCAGUCUUCAGCUCAGAGUCUACCAGACACUAAAAUGCAACUGAACACUC
RNAcentral lists this long non-coding RNA (782 nucleotides) under Homo sapiens (human). RNAcentral describes it as "HSALNT0395342". The record is from RNAcentral. Lineage: Eukaryota; Metazoa; Chordata; Mammalia; Primates; Hominidae.